This is a long non-coding RNA of Gambusia affinis (western mosquitofish), 1464 nucleotides long. RefSeq lists it as uncharacterized. Lineage: Eukaryota; Metazoa; Chordata; Actinopteri; Cyprinodontiformes; Poeciliidae. The record is from RefSeq and is a predicted model, not a curated record. The transcript is spliced from 7 exons.
ACCUUCUGGACCGGAACCUUCUGGACCGGAACCUUCUGGACCGGAACCUUCUGAUGUUUUUCUCAUCGGAUUCAGGAAGGAGGAGCAGGAUCUGGAGAUCUGGAGAGCCGGGGCCCCGUCACCAGGCAGUGUGUCCUCCAGGGCCCCUGGGUCCUCUGGGUCCCCGGCGCUGUGGCGUCUCCGUGGCCCCCAGGUCCUCUAACGGGACGUUUCCUUCUGAUCCGGUCGCCGUGACGCUCUGACACGGCCCGGUCCUGACGGUGGCCGUCCCUUCAGGAGUUAAUUAACAACCCCAUCAAAGCCGACCCCAACACGGCUCAGAGGAGGAAGUACAGGCCCCCGGCCUUUGAUUGGUCCGUCUGCAGGGGCCUCCAGUUCUGUUUGAUGGCGAGUAAUUGCUGCUGCCUGAUGGAGGAUCUUAGAGAAGAUCUGCUGGAAGAAGAUCUUCAGACGGACUGCAGGAGACCCUCUGACUCCAGAGAAUCAGAGUUUGGUUCCAGCAGCUGGUUCUUCUGGGUGAAUCUGUUCCAGUCUGUAUCAUCUGGACUUUAACCAGCCACAAAGAAAACUCACGAAGAAGAAGCAGCAGGUACCGCUCACCUUGUGACGUCACCACCCUGCUGUUCCUGUCGAGGAUCGUUUCCGUCGUCCUGUUUCAUAUGCAGCAGCCCUGACCUCUGACCCCUGACCAGCCUGAGUCCUUCUUGUGAUGAAGGUCAACAGGCAUCCGACAAUCUGUUCGCCCUCCUUCCACUUAAACCUCCUGCUACCUCUGACUGAGGAGGAGGAGCAGGAGGAAGAUGACUUCCAGCAGAAACAUGUGGCGGCAGAGGGAGGAGAGGAUAUUUUUGGCUCCUCUUGAUGAGGGAAAGUUGUAGGCGGAGUUUCAGUGGCUGAUUUUGACGAGCUGUGAUGAGGAGCCCUUCGUCUCUCUGGGAGCCGACCCCCUGCCUCCUCUUCAUCAGACCCGGCCCGACUCGGAGCAAUCAGGGGCUCGACGGGCUCCCCGAGGGGCCGAGGAGAGAACCGGAGUCAGCAGCUAUCGCAGAACCAGAUGCUGCUGCUGCUGCUGCUGCAGGUUUCGCCGCUCCGCCUCCUGAAGGAAACGUCCCAGUGAGUCACCAGCUGGGCUGUUAGGAAACUUUGUUUGGAUCUCUGCGGCUGUUUGGACUAAUCUGGGAGGAGCUGUUGUGACUGCGGCUUCCUCUGGAAACAUUCCCGCCGUGACUCACCUUCCAAACUUAGCUCGGCCGUGAACCGCCGGUCUGGAGGCGCGACGCCACCGAUGCCACCGCCGGCUGAGGAAUGAGUCAGGAGGAAGCAACGACCAAUCAGGAGGAAGCAACGACCAAUCAGGAGGAGGCAACGACCAAUCAGGAGGAAGCAACGACCAAUCAGGAGGAGGCAACGACCAAUCAGGAGGAAGCAACGACCAAUCAGGAGGAGGCAACGACCAAUCAGGAG